Etheostoma cragini (Arkansas darter) is the source of this 260-nucleotide long non-coding RNA. RefSeq lists it as uncharacterized. The record is from RefSeq and is a predicted model, not a curated record. The transcript has 3 exons. NCBI's taxonomy places the organism in Eukaryota, Metazoa, Chordata, Actinopteri, Perciformes, Percidae.
GGAGUCUGGAGCUAUUGUGAAGCGUCACUAUCCAUCUGAAGAACCUGCACUAACUAGUAAAAGCUGGGAGUUUUCACAAGCUGGUGCAAUGAAAAUUACAAAGGCAGCCGAUGUGAGCAUUUCCAACUCUUCAGCAGUUCCACCAAUGGAGAGGAAGCAGGGUUAAUUGCAGCCGUGAUCAUUUUUGCACUCCUCAUCUUAGUGGUGCUGGCAGUUAUUAUCUACUACAUACACAAGAUGCUGAAAAAAAAGCAACAGAG